This 440-nucleotide ribosomal RNA is filed under the name uncultured bacterium. RNAcentral's name for it is "partial 16S ribosomal RNA". It matches the Rfam family "Bacterial small subunit ribosomal RNA", at positions 338 to 795 of the family's 1533-position model. The record is from RNAcentral.
CCUACGGGAGGCAGCAGUAGGGAAUAUUGCUCAAUGGGGGAAACCCUGAAGCAGCAACGCCGCGUGGAGGAUGACGGUUUUCGGAUUGUAAACUCCUUUUGUUAGAGAAGAUAAUGACGGUAUCUAACGAAUAAGCACCGGCUAACUCCGUGCCAGCAGCCGCGGUAAUACGGAGGGUGCAAGCGUUACUCGGAAUCACUGGGCGUAAAGAGCGCGUAGGCGGGUUAGCAAGUCAGAUGUGAAAUCCUAUGGCUUAACCAUAGAACUGCAUUUGAAACUGUAAUUCUAGAGUAUGGGAGAGGUAGGUGGAAUUCUUGGUGUAGGGGUAAAAUCCGUAGAGAUCAAGAGGAAUACUCAUUGCGAAGGCGACCUACUAGAACAUAACUGACGCUGAUGCGCGAAAGCGUGGGGAGCAAACAGGAUUAGAUACCCUUGUAGUC